UACGGGGGGAGCAAGCGUUGUUCGGAUUUACUGGGCGUAAAGGGCGCGUAGGCGGCCAGCACACGUCAGUUGUGAAAUCUCCGAGCUUAACUCGGAAAGGUCAACUGAUACUGUGCGGCUAGAGUGCGGAAGGGGCAACUGGAAUUCUUGGUGUAGCGGUGAAAUGCGUAGAUAUCGGAAGGAACAUCAGUGGCGAAGGCGACUACCUGGCCUGUUUCUUGACGCUGAGGCGCGAAAGCUAGGGGAGCAAACGGG
RNAcentral lists this ribosomal RNA (255 nucleotides) under uncultured bacterium. RNAcentral's name for it is "partial 16S ribosomal RNA". It matches the Rfam family "Bacterial small subunit ribosomal RNA", at positions 524 to 776 of the family's 1533-position model. The record is from RNAcentral.